Molecule: ribosomal RNA, 481 nt
Filed under: uncultured Clavulina
Lineage: Eukaryota; Fungi; Basidiomycota; Agaricomycetes; Cantharellales; Hydnaceae
Description: eukaryotic LSU rRNA
Rfam family: 5.8S ribosomal RNA (bases 170-323)
Source: RNAcentral
GGAUGCAUGUGCUUGCCCUAACAAUCAUCUUCCAAACACCUGUGCACAUUUUUGAGGGAGUUUCGAGUUUUAUUGCCGUUUUUGGUGAUUUUCUUGUAUUCCCUUGAAUUAUUAUACGCUGUUAACAAUGAUGAACGUGCUCUGUGCCGCAAGGCCAUUAAUAUAAUACAACUUUUAACAACGGAUCUCUUGGCUCUCGCAUCGAUGAAGAACGCAGCGAAAUGCGAUAAGUAAUGUGAAUUGCAGAAUUCAGUGAAUCAUCGAAUCUUUGAACGCACCUUGCGCUCCCUGGUAUUCCGGGGAGCACGCCUGUUCGAGUGUCGCGAAAUUUCUCAAGCUUGGAUGGCCUUUUUGUCUGUCCUUAGCCUUGGUUGUUGGGCUUUGCCGUGUCCUUUGUUGGGACGGCUGGCCUUAAAAGCAUUAGCUGAUCCUCGUGUGGCACUGGUUCUACUCAGCGUGAUAACAGUCUGAUCGCUGAGGA